AACGAACGCUGGCGGCAUGCCUAACACAUGCAAGUCGAACGAGACCUUCGGGUCUAGUGUCGCACGGGUGCGUAACGCGUGGGAACCUGCCCUUAGGUUAGGAAUCACUCCCCGAAAGGGGUGCUAAUACCGGAUAAUGUCUUCGGACCAAAGAUUUAUCGUCUUUGGAUGGGCCCUCGUUGGAUUCGCUUGUUGGAAGGGUAAAAGCCUACCAAGGCGACGAUCCAUAGCUGGUCUGAGAGGAUGAUCAGCCACACUGGGACUGAGACACGGCCCAGACUCCUACGGAAGGCAGCAGUGGGGAAUAUUGGACGAUGGGCGAGAGCCUGAGCCAGCAAUGCCGCGUGAGUGAUGAAGGCCUUAGGGUUGUAAAGCUCUUUUACCCGGGAUGAUAAUGACGGUACCGGGAGAAUAAGCUCCGGCUAACUCCGUG
Molecule: ribosomal RNA, 433 nt
Filed under: uncultured bacterium
Lineage: Bacteria
Description: partial 16S ribosomal RNA
Rfam family: Bacterial small subunit ribosomal RNA
Source: RNAcentral